AACAGGGAACAGGAAUUCCACAUACACAAAUAAGUAAUAAUGUGCUGGUAAAAUUUACCAACUGGCUCUUUCCUAAAAAAAAAAAAGUACAUAUACUUUUGACUUUAACCGCAUUAUUAAUACUCUUUCCACCACUUUAAGCCUAGACAAUCAACAAAAUAAUAAAUCUGAUUUGUAGGUUUGCUGAUUUCUGAGAUGUAGAUGUAAAAGUUCACAUCAAAAACUUAAAAGACUGGAGCCUGGCUCCAACACAUCCUUGGUAUAAUAUAAGGGAGAAGAAAUUGCUAAUGUUAGCAAAGGAGUUUCAUAUUGUAGCAGACUACAGAGAUUCAUGAAGAAAAAAAAAUAAUCAAAUCCACAAAAUAUUUUAGGCAUUAUUUAUUAAACCAUUUGGAGACCCAUUUGGCAAGGUGAUUGAUUUCAAAACAAAUAGUCCACUCCAGCAGAAAAGAAAAACACAAAGAAUGCAUGGAUACUAGAAGCUAAAGACUUCUUGAAAGUCAGCAUAUAUCCUAGGUUGCUUACUGAUGCAUGGCAAGAUAUAAAGCACUGUCAUUCUUUUUCAAUGUCAGAAUAUGAAGUGGAGGAGGGAGGAGAGGGAGGAAGAUAUGCACCAUGAGUGAUCAAGAAGCAAAAAUAUAUGGUGGUGAACAGUACGAGCACACAAGUGCUUUGCUACUACAAAAUUUAAGACAAUACAGAGGGUAAAAAAGAAUAUCCACUAAUGUCGAUAUUCUUAUGUGGAAACAAAAUGAUUUUGGAAUUUAAAAAAAUAUAAUUGUAAUUCAUAAUAUAAGACCACCAGUUUGGGGACAUUAACAAGAGAAGCAAUAUGCUCAAAAAUGAACCUAUCAGAAAAAAAUCACUUUGAGUUUAAUUUUCAUUUCACUUAACAGGACUUGUACAACAAAGACUUGCCAAA
Phascolarctos cinereus (koala) is the source of this 922-nucleotide non-coding RNA. NCBI's taxonomy places the organism in Eukaryota, Metazoa, Chordata, Mammalia, Diprotodontia, Phascolarctidae. The record is from RefSeq and is a predicted model, not a curated record.